This is a transfer RNA of Ovis aries (sheep), 73 nucleotides long. It matches the Rfam family "tRNA". From Rfam's summary of the family: Transfer RNA (tRNA) molecules are approximately 80 nucleotides in length. Their secondary structure includes four short double-helical elements and three loops (D, anti-codon, and T loops). Further hydrogen bonds mediate the characteristic L-shaped molecular structure. tRNAs have two regions of fundamental functional importance: the anti-codon, which is responsible for specific mRNA codon recognition, and the 3' end, to which the tRNAs corresponding amino acid is attached (by aminoacyl-tRNA synthetases). tRNAs cope with the degeneracy of the genetic code in two manners: having more than one tRNA (with a specific anti-codon) for a particular amino acid; and 'wobble' base-pairing, i.e. permitting non-standard base-pairing at the 3rd anti-codon position. NCBI's taxonomy places the organism in Eukaryota, Metazoa, Chordata, Mammalia, Artiodactyla, Bovidae. The record is from Rfam.
UCCCUGGUGGUCCAGUGGUUAGGACUCUGUGCUUUUACUGCUGAAAGCCUGGGUUCAAUCCCCGGUCAGGGAA